UCAAAAAGACCGUCCCAGUUCGGAUCGCAGGCUGCAACCCGCCUGCGUGAAGUUGGAAUCGCUAGUAAUCGCGGAUCAGCAUGCCGCGGUGAAUACGUUCCCGGGCCUUGUACACACCGCCCGUCACACCAUGAGAGUCGGGAACACCCGAAGUCCGUAGCCUAACCGCAAGGGAGGAGCUGUCGAAGGCAGGCCCGGUAACUGGGGUGAAGUCGUAACAAGGUACC
RNAcentral lists this ribosomal RNA (227 nucleotides) under uncultured bacterium. RNAcentral's name for it is "partial 16S ribosomal RNA". It matches the Rfam family "Bacterial small subunit ribosomal RNA", at positions 1274 to 1500 of the family's 1533-position model. The record is from RNAcentral.